UCUAGAGACUUAUCUGUGUUGUUUUGCUGGAAAUACGCCAAAGAAAUGGGCUAAAAUGUUACUGUGGGCAGAAUACUAGUAUAACACCUCUUAUCAGACUGGAAUGACUCUAUUCAAGGCCCUAUAUGGCAGGGACCCACCUGUUCUCCUAAAAUGGUCAAAUAGACCUUCACGAGUACAGGAGCUAGACCAGCAAUUGAGGGAGAGAAAUCUUAUUUUGGAUGAACUUAAGGCACAGCUUGAGCGAGGUCAAGUAAGAAUGAAUAACCAGGCAGAUAAACAUCGAAGAGAGGUCCACUUUGAGGUAGGAGAUUUUGUCUAUUUGAAACUUAAGCCUUACCGAUUUCAGUCAUUGGCUAAAAGGCCUAAUGAAAAAUUAGCCCUUAGAUAUUAUGGGCCAUUUUUGAUUGAGGAAAAGAUUGGUUUAGUUGCUUAUCACUUGACCCUCCCUCCUAGUGCUUGAAUUCAUAAUUUUUUUCAUAUUUCCUAACUUAAAAAAGCCUUAAAGGCCAUGGUUACAGCUUAACCAUUACCAAAUGGGCUUAUUGAGGAAUUAGAGUUACAAGUGGAACCCGAAUCAGUUUUAGAGGUGUGUUGCGAUGACCAAGGUACCUUACAGCUCCUGAUUAAGUGGAAAGCCUUACCUGACUACAAGAAUACUUAGGAAGAAUUAAUUGGAGACCAUUCGUACUCAAUUUCCAAAUUUUCACCUUGGGGACAAGGUGACACUUGUAGAACAGGAGAAUGUUGGGCCCAGCAGAAAAUGGGGCUAGAUAUAUACAUAAAAGAAGAAAGGAAGCCCAACCCAUUGAAGUAACUGUAACAAGGCUAGAAAGGGAAGAAUGGGAAAUAGAGCUCAGUAACAAAUAUUCUGAUUAUGUCAGAUAGUAGGAGUGCAUUAAAAAGGGGGAGAGGAGGUUGUAUUGGGCAGGAAGUGUGUCACUAGUAGGAGAGGGUCCUGGUCUCUCAAAUACCAGGAUUGUAUUCCUAAGUUUGUGAGUUUAUGCUUUGGGUGAUUAGGGAUUGUAUUCCUCUACAUUUUCCACUAAUAAUAGAGGUCUACUGGAAUAUAUUUCAUAUUUGGCAUUGAGUUAUUUUUCAAGACCUAACAGUAGCCCAUGCCAGAUUUGAUAUAUUUGUUGUUAUUGUUUUCCUCAGGUUUACAAGAAAAUGUCAAAGCACUUUUUCGCUUAGAUGCAAGCCAUAUAAGAUCAGGAUUGUAGAUUCUCCUUUAUUGCUUGUUCUGAUCCUGCACAUGCCUAAGCUAUGAGAGGAUUUGAAUAAAAAUGAAGAUGGUUUGGCUUAAUGGUGUAUAGGUUAGAGUUUGAACAUGUUAGGUGAAAUUUUGAAUUGUUAGAGUAGUUUGGGUCUUGAAGCACAAAGGAACAAGGAAGAAAUUUGUUAUACUUGAUGACAUUUAUGAUAUUGAAUUAAAGGUGUCAUAAGAUCGGUUGUGGUUGUGUAAGGUAAGAAAUUGUAUUGUUUUGAAUAAUGUGUACUUUAUGAAGAAUUAUCAAAGAGCCUUAAGGAUAAAUCAUUUAUCAGUUACUAAAGGAAAGAGGCAUGGUUGAGAUGAAUAUGUCAUUAUAGGUGGGAGAAUGGAAUAGAAAGAAUAUAAUUCUAAAUAUGGAUAGUAGAUUGAGGCAAAUAAGGAUUGAGGACUUUAAAAUUAUUCUAGAUUACAUAUUGGGUUCACGAAUGUUAGUUAAAAAUAUAUGAAUUGAAGUUUUUAUUAAAGAAAGUUGUUUAUUCUUCUGGUCUAGGUAAUAGCGUAGCUAAAGGGAAAUGGAGAGGCAUUUAAAAAGCACAUAUUAUUAAUUUGGGAGAUAUCAAGUAAGUGGAUAGCGUCCAACUAAUUUUUUCAAUAAAGAUUUCCUAUACUACAAUAGUACAUUUGUUUGCAAAAUUGUUUUAGUAAUAACGAUGUGGUUAUUGAAUAGUGUGUUUAUUAAACUUCUUUAUUUUGUGAAAUUACCUUUAUCAGUUUUGAAAUUUUAAUUAAUUAAUAAAUAUAAGUUUGGACUUUGAUUAUGAGAUUUCAUUCUAUCGAACAUUGGAUUGAUAUAGAGAAUGAUUCAUGCGAGUUUGACUUUGAAAGUGAAAAUUUUAUUUUGAAAGUGAUGAUUUUCUCGUAUGUUUGAAAAUGGAUUUGAAGGGGACUUUAUGCAGAACACUGGUUGUUAACGGCAAUUCCGUUAGCCCUUGGUGCGCCAUGGUUCACCUAGCUAGCAGGGUACUUAUAAGAGGUGCUAGCCCUGUGCGAUGGCCAACGCACGUGGAACGGAGGGAUGGUUAUUUGUGAGCAUCAUACUCACAUUUGUUUCGUUACUUCAGCCGUGUUUGGUUACAUACCCUCGUGAACUGUGUGUCCAUGUUUGUUUUGUAGCUUCGGCUGCGUUUGGUUACUUACCCUCGUGGAUUAUGUAUCCACGUUUGUUUUCGUGGCAUAAGCUGCGUUUGGUUAUUUACCUUCGUGGACUGUGUGUCCACAUUUGUUAAUUGUUCUGAUAAGUCCCUAUAAUUAUGAAUCCAAUUAUUUGAUGAUUUUACGUUCCA
Long non-coding RNA from Prosopis cineraria, 2556 nucleotides. RefSeq lists it as uncharacterized. The record is from RefSeq and is a predicted model, not a curated record. The transcript is spliced from 2 exons. Lineage: Eukaryota; Viridiplantae; Streptophyta; Magnoliopsida; Fabales; Fabaceae.